Molecule: long non-coding RNA, 709 nt
Organism: Lagopus leucura (white-tailed ptarmigan)
Lineage: Eukaryota; Metazoa; Chordata; Aves; Galliformes; Phasianidae
Exons: 3
Source: RefSeq, a predicted model, not a curated record
GGGCUGCUUGCUGAGGAGGAGUGCUGCACAGCUAGAGAUCCCCUUCACCAGUUGGGUAAACAAGGAAUCUAAUUGGAAUGCCACAAAAAGAUCUGCUAAGAGGAGCAUCAGGAAUGAAGCAGUCAGAGGUGCUGUCUGGAAGGCAGGCAGGGGAAGGCACUCAUGCAGGGAAAUGCUGCUGUACUCUGGGAUUUAGGAAACGAGUGCAAUGUGUGGAGUCUUGGAAGUGUGAAACUCGUAAGAAGAGGAGAAGCAGCAGGAGAGGCUAAAGAAUGGAGAAUGAAGACACACUAUCUCUCUGCUCCCACACCUACUUGCUGACUCCGGUGCCGCGUGCCGCUCUCUGCAGCCGAAGCCCUUCUGACGGUCGGGGAAUGGAUUCAGCCCACAAAAAUAUGUUGCAUGUUGCAAGUGGAAUUUGCCCUCUGGCCUUCGGCUUCCCCCUCUCCUGUGACCAACAAGUGCUGUUUUCUCCUCUCUCCCCUUGCUGGUGAAAGCUGCCUUUAGCUCUCUGCAGGCGCUUGGUUCGGAGCCAGUGAUGAGUUUCCUUCACGCCUCCGUCUGCUGUGCAGCCAGAGAAAAAGCAACGCGUGCCAUUUUCCUCUGCAAUGGGCAGAGACCGCUGAGUCUCCUCUCUGCCCCACCGUGACUGGGGGGGGGGGGCACACUGGAUAUAAGCCUCAUUUUCUCUCAUUUCUUAGCAUUUGUG